GUACGACUAGUGGACAUGGCACCUGCCCGGUAAGCAGAAGGUUGUGGGUUCGAUUCCCGCCCCUGGACA
Cordylochernes scorpioides is the source of this 69-nucleotide non-coding RNA. The record is from the annotation of a GenBank genome assembly. Lineage: Eukaryota; Metazoa; Arthropoda; Arachnida; Pseudoscorpiones; Chernetidae.